AUGCACUGUGUUUUAACCCACGGUUGUGCAGUGGUGCAAAUCUCUAAAAGUCUUUUUAACAUGCUUAUCAUUUGCAGUGACCCCAUGACAAUCUGCAGUACUUCAGCACUACGUCCUGGAUGCAAAAAUAGCAACUGUAAACAGGAAGUGCCUGUUGACCUUGUUUGCGUAUGCGUGCAGUUGAGGCCUCGCGUACUUCUGUUCAACUUUAACGGAUACAGUUUCAAGAUAAAGGACAUGUCUGCUGAAAAGAAGCCCAAAAAGAAGAAGCCCGAGUCGACUCCAGCAGAGACCAACGGGAUCGAAGCCAAAUCCAAAAAGACCAAGAGCAAGAAGAGCGAUGAUCUGUCGGCCGAGAGCGACCCGGUCACUCAGAGUACGGCAGAGACCUCAUGUCCUGAUGUUACAUCACAGCGCUUCUGUCAGUCUGUUUACACAACUCUCACAAACCUCCCUCACAGAUGGAGAGAAGGUGAAGAAGAAGAAACUGGAGAAGGACAAAGAAUCAACAGAAAAGGAGAAGGAAAUCAAAAAGAAAGCGAAAAGCGCUCCAAAGAAGAAGAAGAGUAAGUGACCCAGUGUUUUUUUAGUGUCAUUUGAUUUGUGACCCUGAAGCACAAAAGCAGUCUUAAGUCUCUGGGGUAUAUUUGUAGCAAUAGCCAAAAAUACAUUGUAUGGGUCAAAAUUGUAGAUUUUUCUUUCAUGCCAAAAAUCAUUAGGAUAUUAAGUAAAGAUCAUGUUCAUGAAGAUAUUUUGUAAAUUUCCUACCGUAAAUACAUCAACACUUAAUUUUUGAUUAGUAAUAUACAUUGCUAAGAACAACUUUAUUCGGACAACUUUAAAGGCGAUUUUCUCAUUAUUUACAUUUUCAAAUAGUUGUAUUUCGGCCAAAUAUUGUCCGAUCCUAUCAAACCAUAUAUCAAUGGAAAGAUGAUUUACUCAGCUUUCAGAUAAUGUAUAAAUCCCUCUUUUUUUUUUUUAAUUGACCCUUAUGACUGGUUUUGUGGUCUAGGGUCACAUUUAUAUUAUUUAUAUUAUUAUAUUAAAUGAUGUUUGUUAUUUAUUUAUAUUAUAUAUUAUUAGAUUUUGUUUUUAUAUUUUUAGUUUUCAUUUUAACUUUAGCUUACGUUUUAAAAAAUAAUAAUAAUCAUAAAUAAAUAAUCAUUUAAAAAUUUGAAAUGUCUCUUC
Molecule: long non-coding RNA, 1188 nt
Organism: Cyprinus carpio (common carp)
Lineage: Eukaryota; Metazoa; Chordata; Actinopteri; Cypriniformes; Cyprinidae
Source: Ensembl